Molecule: small RNA, 665 nt
Filed under: Pan troglodytes (chimpanzee)
Lineage: Eukaryota; Metazoa; Chordata; Mammalia; Primates; Hominidae
Description: retained intron
Source: RNAcentral
UCCAUCAUGGUACUUAGACUUUUUUUUAAUUCCUCUACAGACAAAGAAUAGAAUCUAAAGUUUGUAAGGCAGCCAUCGCCACAUUUUAUGUUAAUGUGAAAGAACAAUUCAUCAAAAUGGUAAGCUCACUGACAUGCAUUUGUUGGUCUAAGGUUUUUUUCACUAAUCCUGUAGCAGCAUAUUGCUGUCUUAGAAAAGCUUGCAUUUGCUGGCAGUAUGGUAAUAAACUCAUUAGAACUAUUCAUAUUCCACAUAACUGUUUUUAAACUAAAUGUGACACAUGUGAAACUAAUUAACAUUUACUUUUGGAAACUAAUGUACAUAUGUAUUUUUUGUUUUGUGUAGCUUAAAGAAAGCCAGAUGUUGACAAAUCUGAAAAGGAAGAAUGCUAAGAUGAUUUCAGAUAUCGAAAAGAAAAGGCAGCGUAUGAUUGAAGUCCAGGAUGAACUGCUUCGGUUAGAGCCACAGCUGAAACAACUACAAACAAAAUAUGAUGAACUUAAAGAGAGAAAGUCUUCCCUUAGGAAUGCAGCAUAUUUCUUAUCUAAUUUAAAACAGCUUUAUCAAGAUUAUUCAGAUGUUCAAGCUCAAGAACCAAACGUAAAGGAAACGUAUGAUUCAUCCAGCCUUCCAGCUCUGUUAUUUAAAGCAAGAACACUUCUGGG